This 482-nucleotide ribosomal RNA is filed under the name uncultured bacterium. RNAcentral's name for it is "partial 16S ribosomal RNA". It matches the Rfam family "Bacterial small subunit ribosomal RNA", at positions 30 to 507 of the family's 1533-position model. The record is from RNAcentral.
AUUGAACGCUGGCGGCAUGCCUUACACAUGCAAGUCGAACGGUAACGGGCCUUCGGGUGCCGACGAGUGGCGAACGGGUGAGUAAUACAUCGGAACGUGCCCGAUCGUGGGGGAUAACGAGGCGAAAGCUUUGCUAAUACCGCAUACGAUCUACGGAUGAAAGCAGGGGACCGCAAGGCCUUGCGCGGACGGAGCGGCCGAUGGCAGAUUAGGUAGUUGGUGGGAUAAAAGCUUACCAAGCCGACGAUCUGUAGCUGGUCUGAGAGGAUGAUCAGCCACACUGGGACUGAGACACGGCCCAGACUCCUACGGGAGGCAGCAGUGGGGAAUUUUGGACAAUGGGCGCAAGCCUGAUCCAGCCAUGCCGCGUGCAGGAUGAAGGCCUUCGGGUUGUAAACUGCUUUUGUACGGAACGAAAAGCCUUCUUUUAAUACAGGAGGGUCAUGACGGUACCGUAAGAAUAAGCACCAGCUAACUACGUG